AAACCGCGAACGGCUCAUUACAACAACUACGAUCUACUUGAUCUUGACGCUCCCUAGUUGGAUAACUGAGGUAAUUCUUGAGCUAAUACAUGAACCACGCCACCGGGCGGCAACGCCAGGUGGGCAUUUAUUUGAACAAAGCCAUUGUCGCUUCGGCGGCAUGCAGUUGACUCAGAAUAACUCGGCUGAUCGCAUGGCUCCUGGCCGGCGACGUGUCUUUCGAGCAUUUGCCUUAUCAACUUGUCGGUAGCGUAACUGGCUACCGUGGUGCUAACGGGUAACGGAGGAUCAGGGUUCGACUCCGGAGAAGGGGCCUGAGAAAUGGCCACUACGUCUAAGGAUGGCAGCAGGCGCGCAAAUUAUCCACUCUCGGCACGAGGAGAUAGUGACGGGAAAUAUCGAGACCUGCCCCUUUGGGGCUGGCCAUCGGAAUGGGUACAACCUAAACCCUUUAACGAGUAUCUAUGAGAGGGCAAGUCUGGUGCCAGCAGCCGCGGUAAUUCCAGCUCUCAAACUGAAUAGGACCAUUGCUGCGGUUAAAAAGCUCGUAGUUGGAUCUGUGCGCGGGACCCGGUUCGCACCCUGUGCGCAACUGGGCGCCCCGUGCUUAUGGUCGGUUCCCCCUGUUUCGGCUUGAGUGCUGGGACUCGGGCGGCUGACGCGUUUACUUUGAACAAAUCAGAGUGCUCAAGACAGGCGCAUGCCUGAAUGCUGGCGCAUGGAAUAAUGGAAGAGGAUCUCGGUCCGCUUUCGUUGGUUUUACGGCCGAGAUAAUGGUUAAUAGAGACAGACGGGGGCAUCUGUAUUUCUGCGUGAGAGGUGAAAUUUUUGGACCGCAGAAGGACACACGACAGCGAAAGCAUUUGCCAAGCAUGUCUUCAUUAAUCAAGAACGAAAGUCAGAGGAUCGAAGGCGAUUAGAUACCGCCCUAGUUCUGACCGUAAACGAUGCCAACUAGCGAUCCGUCGUGGGAUGUUCCGUCCCCGAUGGGGAGCUUCCCGGAAACGAAAGUCUUCCGGUUCCGGGGGAAGUAUGGUUGCAAAGCUGAAACUUAAAGGAAUUGACGGAAGGGCACCACCAGGAGUGGAGCCUGCGGCUUAAUUUGACUCAACACGGG
Molecule: ribosomal RNA, 1117 nt
Filed under: Sakia sisanganensis
Lineage: Eukaryota; Metazoa; Nematoda; Chromadorea; Rhabditida; Tylenchidae
Description: SSU rRNA
Rfam family: Eukaryotic small subunit ribosomal RNA
Source: RNAcentral